RNAcentral lists this ribosomal RNA (519 nucleotides) under Reishia clavigera. RNAcentral describes it as "partial large subunit ribosomal RNA". It matches the Rfam family "Bacterial large subunit ribosomal RNA", at positions 1813 to 2603 of the family's 2925-position model. Lineage: Eukaryota; Metazoa; Mollusca; Gastropoda; Neogastropoda; Muricidae. The record is from RNAcentral.
ACAUGGCUCCUUGUUUUCUUACAUAGGGAGUCGGACCUGCUCGGUGAAUAUAUUUUAACAGCCGCGGUACUCUGACCGUGCAAAGGUAGCAUAAUCAUUUGCCUUAUAAUUGAAGGCUAGUAUGAAUGGUUUGACGAGAAUUAAGCUGUCUCUUUUUAACUAAAUAUAACUUUAUUAAGAGGUGAAGAAGCCUGUAUUUUAUUGAAAGACAAGAAGACCCUAUCGAGCUUUAAAGAAUUUAGUAGAUUUACCAUAUAUUAAUAAAAAAGUAAAGCAACUAAAUAUUUUGGUUGGGGCGACUGAGGAACAAACAAAGCUUCCUUUAUGCUAAUUAAAACUUACAAGUAUUGAUCCAAUUUAUUUGAUUAAAGAAAUUAGUUACCGUAGGGAUAACAGCAUAAUCUCCUUUGAGAGUUCCCAUCGAAAAGGGGGUUUGUGACCUCGAUGUUGGACCAGAAUACCCAGAAGAUGCAGCCGUCUUCAAUGGUUGGUCUGUUCGACCAUUAAAAUUCUACAUGA